ACGCCCCCCCAAAUUUUUUUUUUAUAAAAUUUUUUGUUUCUCUUCAUUUCGAUUGAGUGAGAGAGAGAGAGAGAGAGACCAUCGAAAUUAGAAAAGAGCGCAGAUAAAAUUCUCGAUCUCGAUAUGUUAUCACCGAGCAAACAAUAGGAGUUGUGAUUUAAUCGACGAUCUCAAUCUGUUCUCUCUCGGUCUCAGAAUUUUCUUUGCCAAAAGGAACAAAGGGAAAUAAGAGACAUGGCGUCUGAAGCAAAGGAAAUCAUAGUACUUCUCAGACAAAUAUUAUGGUUUUCCAUGAGAAACAUUUACAGAUUGGGUCGUGAUCAUCCUUUUGUUUGGGGCACGACAUUUUUCUUGCUUCUACUAUAUAGAUAUCUUCCAUCUGUAUUUGGUUUUGUUCUUUAUUCGUCCCCUGUUGUUGUUUGCACUGCCCUUCUUCUUGGAACUCUUCUCCUUUACGCAGAUCCUAAUCUUCCUGAAACAGAAGAGGUACGAAAUAUCAAGGGAUCUAAAAAUUCUCAAACUGGUUUUAGUGAAGGUAAGAGCUUCUCAGUGGAGAACCAUGUGGCAAAACAUGCAGCACACUUGAGGAAAGAUCAUAAUUCUUCUUCUGAAUCUGAAUCUGAAUCUGAAUCUGAUCAUUCAGAAUCCGGGUCUGAUAUCAUUCCUAUGCUUGAUGAGCUUCACCCACUUUUAGAUAUUGAUGCUCCUCAGACUGCAAGAUCUGUUGAUAAUUCAGAUGCUGCCUCUAGUGGAGAUUCCGGGGAUCAAGAAUCAGAUGAUGGUAGCAUUGAGGACGAAACUGAAAUCCAAGAAGAUGAAGAAGAAGAUGAAGCACAGGAGGAGAAAGAUGAUGCCAACGAAGUCGUGUUAAAAUGGACCGCCGAUGAUCAGAAGAAUCUCAUGGAUCUUGGGACUUCUGAGCUGGAAAGGAACCAGAGGUUGGAGAACUUGAUUGCAAAAAGAAAAGCAAGGAAAUUUCUUAGUUUUCAUGCUCAGAGAAAUUUAAUAGAUUUUGAUUGUGAUGAUCCCGUGCCAAGUAAUUUUCAGAUACAACCCAUAUCUGCACUGAGAAGAAACCCUUUUGAUAUUCCCUUUGAAGAGGAAAGUACAGGUUUACCCUCUGUUCCCGGUUCAGCCCCGUCAGUUUUGCAACCGAGAAGAAACCCAUUUGAUAUUCCUUAUGAUGAAGAAGGAAAUAGUAGCCUCAACAGAGUUACUAUGCGACAAGAAUUUGUGCCUUUCUCCCUCGGUGCACCAUCUUCUGCGGGUAUUAAGCAAGAAGAACUUGGUUCUUUUUUGAAACCAUUUUUUGUUGCUGAUAGAAUUAAUUCAGAUGGUCCAGGAUUUGUGACAAAGGUUAGUUCUGCCCAUGAAUCUGAUACGAAUUCAUCAGAUACUGAUCAUGAUGAUCACAUGGACCGAGUAGAACCUGUAGAGAGAUAUAGUCAAUCGUCCGAGGAAGUUGAUUCUGUUGAUGCCCCUCGUGAGCAAAUCGGGGUUGAUGAAGGUAUAACCAUGGGUUUUAAUGCUUCUAAUGAUGCAGUUGAAAUGGAGCUUAGACAAGGUGAAUAUAGUUUACCCAAUUUAGACGCUGAGAAAUUGGAGGUUAUAGAAGAGAGAUACGAUGAUUCAAGCUCCUCUUCAUCAGAAGGACACUCAGAAAUUAAUCAUGAAUCUACAAGGGCAACUGAGAUGAUUAUUGACAGUCAAGGUAUUGAUCCGGUAUAUGAUUCUAGUCCUUCUGCAGUUGCAAAAUCCAUCUCUAACACUUCGACACAUGAUGAUGAAGAUGCUUUACCAUUUGACGGGUUCCAAACAGCUCCACAAGACAGAGGUAUAUGGGUAGCACCAUCGAGCUUAUCUUUCGUAGAUGAGAUCGAAUCAAGAUCAAGGGAGAUAAACGAAAUCAAGGAACAGGAUGUCCUCCAAGUUGAAGUACCUGGAAUCAGCGAAGAUUUUGCUCAUCCAAUGUCCCCUGUGCUUCCAAAAUUUGUCCUUCCUUCACCUUUGUUUGUGAGUUCGAGUGAUAAUGACAAUGAAGGAGAUGAAAUAAUUAAUAAUACUUCAACUGGAAAACCACUGACACCAAGGGAGGCGCCAAUAAUAUCGCAAUCUGAUAAAGCUGGUGAUAAACUAUUAAAUAUUGCGGAUUUGCCAUCAAUUCCUGAAGAUGAGCAGGAGACCAAAAUUGAACAAGCUGCAGCUUCUUCGGCUUUGACUGGUAUUGAGGAGCCUAGUGAAGGUUUAUCUGAGGAUAAUCACCUAGCUGCUGAUGGAAGUACUUUAGAUAUUGUAUCGAGUAUUGAACAAAGUGAUAAAACCUCAAAUGGAUCCGUAAAGGUAAAGGUAAAGGGGAGCUCUAAAGGCUUUGGAAAGAUGAAGAAUAUCGCAAAGUUCUGGUGAUUAUAAUUCAAACUUAGAUUCUGUUGUAGCUCAAGUUAUUUUGAGCAAGUUUAGAGAUAUAACUGCAAAUGGAAAAGAAUUUUUGAAUGCAUAGGGUUAUAUAUGUAUCCAAGGUUUGACCUCUUGGUAAUAAUGCUCCAUUUUGAAGUUCAUGCCCACUCGUUGCUUCCACCAUUUGAACAUUUGAAAACUGUUUUCUCCCUGAAACAGUCCCGCUCGCUGAGUCGGUUAGGUUUUAUGCAAGUUGCAAGCACUUUGAUCUGAUUCUGAUAUGAUUUCUUGGUUAUGUAUGAUGUUGUCUCUAGCCCUGAAACAAAGGAACUCGU
This is an RNA transcript of Asparagus officinalis (garden asparagus), 2729 nucleotides long. RefSeq lists it as uncharacterized. The transcript has 4 exons. Lineage: Eukaryota; Viridiplantae; Streptophyta; Magnoliopsida; Asparagales; Asparagaceae. The record is from RefSeq and is a predicted model, not a curated record.